AAGCCCCUCUCUCUCUCUCUUUCUCUCUCACUCUCACACACACACACACACACGAAAACUCUCUCUCUCUCUCUCUGAUAACUAUCCUCAUCAUUUCACAACAUGACAGCUUGAGGCAUAGGAGGAGGACCAAUUCUGAUGGAAUUCCAAAAGGGCUAUCCUUAAUUCAUUCCCACCCUGCCAUGCAGGAAUCUUUCCAUUAAAUACUAAGAAAAUGUGAAUUGUAUAGAAGGGUUACGGAGAGCUUGAAAAUCUGGAGAAGAACAAUUAUUCAUCCAAGUCAUGUGUUGUCAGUCCUAUUCACGAAUUUUAUCAGAUGUCUGGUUAUCUGAUUGCCCUACACUGCUUUCCACAUCAGCUAAUCCACUACUGUCCUUCAUUGAUUCAAUUUCCAUGCUUGCUGUUCGGCUUCUCCUGUUCCUUCGAUCCUGUAGAAACAUUAUUACUUUGAAUUAGUUUUGCUUAAACUAACAAAGUUCUCAUGAGCCUCCCACGAGGCUAGCACUAUCCAAGAUGCUUGAUAGAUCAUGUUCUUAUUCAAGAAACAACAAGAAUGGUUCAAUCAGGAGAAAAUAUGCAUUUUUAACAGAAAUCCUUGUUUAGAGUCUUGUUUCAAGAACAAUUACAAUGGGAACCUUUUCAGAAGUCCUCGACAUCUGCUGAUGCAGAUUGAAUCAUGCACAAUUUACGAACUCUACACAUAUAGACAUCGAUAGAUGCUAUUUGUGUUCCUUAAUAGACUGUAGCCUUUACUCAAAGUCUUAAAAAAGGCCAAAGGCAACCAUAAGCAUGGUCUAGGCUUGCAGGAUAAGUAUGCCUGGCCAAACUACAAUGCUUAUGCGAAACACUUUUAAUACCAAAAUCUACAGGUUAUUCUCAAUAUCAAUUUUCUAGCAAGUGGAGACUUUUUGUAUCUGCACUGACAUGUAGGUUAGGCACUGGUCUCUUUUCAUUACUCAGAAGCAACAAUAAGAGAGGAGUCCAAGAGCUUUUAACUAUGACCCUCUGUUCUGUUCAAAAAAGACAAUUCAGUCUUCAACUGACAUGUAGAUUAGGCACUGGUCUCUUUUCAUUACUCAGAAGCAACAAUAAGAGAGGAGUCCAAGAGCUUUUAACUACGACCCUCUGUUCUGUUCAAAAAAGACAAUUCAGUCUUCUUCAAAUACCAUAUACAUGCAUUGCAUGGAAGCUCUGACUAACUGAAUUAUUAGCAUUUUUCAACUGGAGAAUUCAGAACUUGGACAAACACUAAACAUCCAAUAGACGACAACCCAUAUAGACAAGUGAACAUUUUAAUAACACAUUCAAAAAUUGGAAUUGGAAAAGCACCUCACGGUAUGGAAAUUCAUCUGCCUCGAGCAUUCGCACAACUUGGCUCAUCCUGGGUCGCUUCUCUGCAUCAGGAUCAACAGAUCUGAGUGCCACCAAAAGUGCACGCUUUAAGGCACGAGUUGCUGGCUUUACUUCAAGGUCAGGAUCCACAACUUCUUCAGCUCUUCUAUGUCCUACCAUCAUUUUCAGCCACUCAACAAGAUUCACCUGGCACAGGAACAAAUCUCCAGGUUAGCCAAGCCUGAAGCCCAUGUCCACUAAUGCCCCAAAUCCACAGUAAAUGGAAAGACAGAAAAGAAUUCACAGACUGCACCAACACUAUCACAAUCAAUAUAGUUUAUAAGGAUUCCAUACCUCGUUAGCAGGACGGGCAUAGUCAACUGGAUCUCUUCCUGUGACUGCUUCCAGUAGUAGAACUCCAAAACUAUAUAUAUCACUUUUUUCAUUUAACAAACCACUGUUUGCAUAUUCUGGAGCCACAUAGCUGAAAUUAACAACACAAAAUGUUUAAGCAUAAAGAAUUCUUCGUAUAAUUCACAUUGGAUAAUAUGGAGGAAAAGGAUAGAUGGCUGAAAAUAAAGAACCAGAAGGAUUUAGUUAAAAACUGGCUUACCCAAAUGUUCCCAUUACUCUUGUCGUUAUGUGGCUUUCUCCUGAGCCCAAGAGCUUUGCCAAUCCAAAAUCAGAAACCUUGGCAUUGAAUUCAUCAUCGAUCAAAAUAUUACUAGAUUUUAUAUCUCGAUGGACAACCUUAGGUUCUAUAGCUUCAUGCAGGUAAGCAAGCCUGCAAAACAAUGUGACACAAUGUUCUGGAUCAAAGCAAUGGAGACACAAUAUAUGAAGAUUUAAUUAUACAAUAAGCGCUUAGUACAAACUACAAGGUUUCACUUAGUAAGCAACAUAUUAGAAACAGAUUGCACAAGUGCUACAUUUCAAAAAAGAAGAAUGGAAAAAUCAGGGAAACAGUGCUAUAAGAAGAUGGAUGGACAAGAAUUGCAUCACAUUUUACCGGUGGAUUAUGCUUAAUCAAACCUGCAAGAGGUUCAAAAAAAAAAAAGCAAAUAUGAAACAUAGUGCAUCAGAUUUAAUGCAUGGCAGACUUACGCUUUUGCAGUACCAAGAAGCACUUUCAUGCGUGCAUCCCAUGUGAGUGUCCCAUGUUGUUUCAUAGUACCAUGAAGCCAUUGUUCUAAGUUGCCAUUAUUAACAUACUCGUACACCAACAUCCUGAAUUAACAAAAAAAAGGAUAAUCUCAGUUAAUGGAGAUGUAUCUCAUUAGACUGAAAUUCAAGACUCAAUAAGUCAAUAAACAUAAUCAUAAUUCUAAUUUUCUUUUUCUUAUUAUUAACUAAAUUAGUGGAUCAAGGAUGAAGCUCAAAACCAAGACCCCAGCCCUGCCUUGUUUAGAGUGCUCCAACCAACAAAGCUAGGCCUUGGCUCAAACUUGAAGUUCCUUUACUACUACUGCAAUUUGCAGAAUCAUUCAAGAACUAUUUUACAGUAAGUAUAGAAAUGAAACUGCUGACUUGAAACUACAGGUGGAAAAAGAAGAUUCUUACCUCUGAACCCCUUCUAUGCAAUAGCCCAGGAGCCGCACAAGAUUCUUGUGCCGAACAUGCCCAAUGGCCUCUACUUCGACCCUGAAUUCUUUUUCAGCUUGGCCACUGAAAUUAGUUCAGAAUUCAACCAUGAAUAAGUUAAAAAAACUCCAAAAACACAUAUCGAAGCCAUGAAAAUGAAGUAUUUAUGUACUACUCACAGAUUGUUAAGAAGCUUCUUUACAGCUACCUCUGUCCCAUUGACCAAUCUGCCCCGGUAAACAACCCCAUAGCCACCUUCCCCAAUCACAUUCUCUGCUGAGAAGCGGUUUGUAGCAAUAUCAAGAUCUCUAAGGGUAAACCAGUGACCCCAACCAAGAUGUGAUAUUUCUGGCAAGCCAAUCAGAGGAGAGGCCAUUGGAAGCCCGUAGGGCAAUGAAGACAGUUUUCGAGCAGUACCAGAACUUCCUUCUUCCCCUGAUUGUGAGCUGCAAGCCCUCUCAUGGUGAUACAUUGAGCUACACUGACUGAGAUUAUCGACAUCACUUGAUUUACUCCUCCCCAGAUGCACUAACAUCUUUUCUGAAUUCUUAUCGCUUGACUUGUCAUUCACUGUCAGGUAUACUGUUUCUGGGUGAUCAUGGUAAUCUUGACCUCCUACUCUAUCGACUUUGAUGUCUUUUGAUAUGUUAGGUAUUUGACAAAGUGAAUAUUUGUCGAGGGUUCUUCUUGAUCUCCUCCGGAACAUUACCCAUAUUGAUAAGGUACAAAGUAUCAAAACUAUAAACGCACCAACACAUAAACCAAUCACGACCCAUAAUUUUAAACCCAAAAAUGAUGUCUUCUUGGAUAGCUCAGCAUUCAAACUCUCAGACGACAUGUUCGACAAACUUCUACCAAGCACCAAUAAACAAGUCUUGUCCCCGUAGCUUCACCUGGGGAAUUAAACCAUGCCUCCU
RNAcentral lists this long non-coding RNA (3830 nucleotides) under Coffea arabica (coffee). RNAcentral's name for it is "long non-coding RNA (CARA_LNC003876)". The record is from RNAcentral. Lineage: Eukaryota; Viridiplantae; Streptophyta; Magnoliopsida; Gentianales; Rubiaceae.